UUCUUCGGGGCGGGGCGUAAUUCCCCACCGGCGGUAUAGUCCGCGAACCGCCUUUGGCGGCUGAUCCGGUGUGAUUCCGGAACCGACAGUAUAGUCUGGAUGAGAGAAGAA
This 111-nucleotide non-coding RNA is filed under the name uncultured Enterocloster sp. Its description in RNAcentral is "FMN riboswitch (RFN element)". It matches the Rfam family "FMN riboswitch aptamer (RFN element)". Rfam says of the family: The RFN element is a highly conserved domain that is found frequently in the 5'-untranslated regions of prokaryotic mRNAs that encode for flavin mononucleotide (FMN) biosynthesis and transport proteins. This element is a metabolite-dependent riboswitch that directly binds FMN in the absence of proteins. In Bacillus subtilis, the riboswitch most likely controls gene expression by causing premature transcription termination within the 5' untranslated region of the ribDEAHT operon and precluding access to the ribosome-binding site of ypaA mRNA. The record is from RNAcentral. Lineage: Bacteria; Bacillati; Bacillota; Clostridia; Lachnospirales; Lachnospiraceae.